This 1231-nucleotide ribosomal RNA is filed under the name metagenome. Its description in RNAcentral is "bacterial LSU rRNA". It matches the Rfam family "Bacterial large subunit ribosomal RNA", at positions 1658 to 2911 of the family's 2925-position model. The record is from RNAcentral.
CACAGGUGGACUGGUUGAGCAUACCCAGGCGUUUGAGAGAACCACGUUGAAGGAACUAGGCGAAUUGCCCGCGUAACUUCGGGAGAAGCGGGACCCUCGGUCGGGCAACCGGUCGGGGGUGGCACAGACCAGGGGGUGGCGACUGUUUACUAAAAACACAGGGCUCUGCGAACUCGCGAGAGGACGUAUAGGGUCUGACGCCUGCCCGGUGCCGGAAGGUCAAGGGGAGUGGUGCAAGCUACGAACCGAAGCCCCGGUAAACGGCGGCCGUAACAAUAACGGUCCUAAGGUAGCGAAAUUCCUUGUCGGGUAAGUUCCGACCUGCACGAAUGGCGUAACGACUUCCCCACUGUCUCCAACGUGGACUCAGCGAAAUUGAAUUCCCCGUGAAGAUGCGGGGUACCCGCGGUCAGACGGAAAGACCCCGUGCACCUUUACUACAGCUUUGCACUGGUACUAGGCGGGCCAUGUGUAGGAUAGGUGGGAGCCUUUGAAGCUCGGGCGCCAGCUCGGGUGGAGGCAACCUUGAAAUACCACCCUUGGGCCGACUGGUAUCUAACCGCGCACCGUCAACCGGUGUCGGGACCCUGCAUGGCGGGUAGUUUGACUGGGGCGGUCGCCUCCCAAAGAGUAACGGAGGCGCGCGAUGGUGGGCUCAGGCUGGUCGGAAACCAGCCGUCGCGUGCAAGCGCAUAAGCCCGCCUGACUGCAAGACCGACAGGUCGCGCAGAGACGAAAGUCGGCGCUAGUGAUCCGGUGGUCCCGCGUGGAAGGGCCAUCGCUCAACGGAUAAAAGGUACGCCGGGGAUAACAGGCUGAUGACCCCCAAGAGUCCCCAUCGACGGGGUCGUUUGCACCUCGAUGUCGGCUCAUCACAUCCUGGGGCUGAAGCAGGUCCCAAGGGUUCGGCUGUUCGCCGAUUAAAGUGGUACGUGAGCUGGGUUUAGAACGUCGUGAGACAGUUCGGUCCCUAUCUGCCGUGGGUGUACGAGACUUGCGCGGAGCUGUCUUUAGUACGAGAGGACCGAGAUGGACGGACCUCUGGUGGACCGGUUGUCACGCCAGUGGCACAGCCGGGUAGCUAAGUCCGGACGGGAUAACCGCUGAAAGCAUCUAAGCGGGAAACCCACCGCAAAACCAGGUCUCGCCGAGAGCCGUGGAAGACCACCACGUCGAUAGGCCGGAGGUGUAUGCGUGGCAACACGUUCAGCCAACCGGUCCUAAUAGCUCC